Long non-coding RNA from Cyprinus carpio (common carp), 1908 nucleotides. RefSeq lists it as uncharacterized. The record is from RefSeq and is a predicted model, not a curated record. Lineage: Eukaryota; Metazoa; Chordata; Actinopteri; Cypriniformes; Cyprinidae. The transcript has 7 exons.
UACUUUAGGUUUGAUUUGUUUGUAAUUCCGAAGCCAAACAAAAAUGGAUAAGAAAAAGAAGAACCCGCUCCCCCACCCGAAACAUCUGCAUAGCAAGAGCAGUACAGAAAGCAUAGAAGUGGCAAAAGUAUUGUGUUUUCUAACAUUAUAGCUCAUAUGGUUGGCAGACAUCAGGAAAUAAUUUUGGCUUAAUAACCUCAUUCUCCUGGCAUGGUGGUCAUUACGCAGGACUUUGAUGUAUUAUCCUGAGCAACUGAUUUACUCAGUUUCAUUUUUCAAAGGAAUACUGUGAGACCCGCUCAAUUGGAUGCCUUCAAGACCUCAAUAAAAUGUUAACAAAAGGAAUGUGUCACAAUUCAGGAUGUUAAAUGUAGUGGCAGCAGUCUGUUUGCUACAGGAAAACAACAGGCUUCCCAUUCCUCUUCAUUUUCUUUCUCUGCUAAAGAGAAAAAAGCUGGAUGGGUUUCUUGCCAAUCUCUUGCUCUACUUUUCUUGCUACUUUGAAAACAAACAAAAAAAAAAACUCUGGAGGAAAGACCGAAGUCUCUCAUGGGAGAGGACACUGAGAGGCAGAUGCAUGGAGAAACGUGUGCUAAGGUGGAGCUGGCACAAAAGCAGCUUGCCCUCUGUCAUGUCAGGCUGCUGCUGGGAUAGAUCUGGCUCAACAGCACCAUAUGACUUUUGACAGGAUCAAGGUGUCAUCCACUCACUGUAACAUACAACUAUACGAGUGUCUGCUGACCUUUAACCCAGGAAGUCAAACCGGCGCCCAGCCCUGAACAUAAUCAUAACCCAGCAUUCCCUUCUGAUGGCCUCUCUUCUGCUUACUCCACAAGAAAAGGCCUCUCACCUGUUUGGGGGCUUCAGGCAUCUUAAAGUGUCCUCAACUUAAUGCAUUGAUUUAGAAGCUGUGAUGGAGGGUCUUAUAGAGCAGCUAAAAUCACUUAGCUUUGGAAUUCUCGGAAAGCCUUUGAUCUAAUUCAGCUCAAUGACCCUGAAGCCUCAGGGAGGCCAGAGUUAAAAGGAGAUUGGGGAUAACAAAACUACCUUUUGUUGUUUGUGGGUUUUACAACAUGCAAAUUUCUUUCAGCUAUUAUUUAUUGUCCACUGUGCUUUGCAUGAGGGUUGUUGACUAAAAUCAUGUUCAAUAAGAAGAAAUAACAAUACAUGCCACUAGGUGGCACUCAAUAUUGUUAUUCAGUUCAGUCCUCUUAGGAGUGAACACAUCCUUAUGUUAGGGAUGGAAUGGAAAUGAUUAAUGGAAAAAUAUAUUAAACUAAAAAAGCUAAGUAUGCAAAGUUGGCUAAAUAAAAUGCAUCACAUUACCUUUGUAUCAACUAUUAGAAAAAUGGUUUAAUAAUUUUAUAGUAUCGUUAUUAGUAUUGGAUAACUGCUGAAUUUGAUGUAUAUGUAAGUGUUUAUUAAGGACACAAAAGAGGCCCCAGGGUUCUGGCAGAAGAGGCUUUACCAUCACCUUAAUUGCCGGGGUAAUCUAGGACACCACUGCUAAUAAUCUUGGUCUGCAAAUCAAGAAGAGGGAGGGGUGAAUGUGUUUUUGUGCAGGGGGUUAUUUGGUUACCUUUGGCAGUACUCAAGAUUUAGGAAGCAAGAGUCCAGUUAUCUCUAAACAAUUUACUGCUUUAUAAUUCGUUUCAAAUGCAUUGCAUUGUUACAAAAACGAUCAGACUUAAUUUUGUUUCAUAGAUUGUGGUGUUUAAAUGAAGAUCAUGACCACUCAGAGAAGGUAAAAAAAAAAUUAGUCUGCACAAUAUUGUUUACCAUUACGCGCUACGCAUUUGUGCAAUAGGGGGAGACAUUGCAUUGAGAAUUAAUGAGUUCUUGCAGAUAUACUCUUUAUAGUGCCACCCAAGGCUGUAGCUGGGGUUUGCGGGGCCCCAGUACAGGUUG